UCACGCUUUUCUAAGAAAACUGCCCAAUUUUAUUUUUUUUCAUGAAUAAUUUACAAGGUCACAAACCCAAUCCACCCAGCUUUCUCAAUCAGGUUCAAUUCACUUCUUCACCCAAUUAAUAGGUUGUAAUCGUCGUCUUCUUCUCGUCUUCUCCUUUUUUUUUCCCUCUCUCCUUCUCAUCUUUCUCUCUCAUCGAUUCUUAAAUCUCUAAUUUUCUGCAUUUUUUCAUUGCUCUCAAACCCUAAUAAUCGACGGCAAUAGAUUAUUCUUCUUUUAUUUUUGUUUUUCUAUACAUUUAUUAAUUAUUAUCUGUAUUUGAUUUUGCUUUCCAUAAUCUUGAUUAUUUUUUCGAUUAAUUUUUGGAAUUCUAUCUGUUGUAAUUUGUUAAAUUUUCUAAUAAUUUUUUUUUGAUGUUUUUGGUUUGACGAACCAUUUUGCCGAUUAAAAAGGUUUUGAUUGAAUGUGGAUAUGCUGAAUUGCUGGGUUUAAGCCACUUCUUCUUUCUUCUCUCCUUUUCUCUCACUCUCUAUCUCUCCUCUGCGGCGCCUCCAUUGCUUCCCCUGAACCUCAUCUUACAACCCCUCAAUUUUGGCGGAACAGACACAGAAGGCCUUUUUGAAGCAGCCUAAAGUGUUUCUGAGCUCGAGGAAAACUGGCCUGGAAAGGGAAAGCAACCUGGGAAAGGAGGAAACAGGUUCUGGAAGAGUAUUGGUUUGGGUUUCAAGACUCUCAGAGAAGCUAUUGAAGGGUAUCAAGAUCCAUUGGAUAUGUGUAAAUAGUGCUAAAGGUGGAUAUUGAAGCAGAAGAAGAUGCUUCCCCGAUUGCUUUACUUGAGAAAUUAGAGAAGAAAGAUAAAAAAAUGAUAAUGCGAUUCAAAGAAUUGCCCAAAAUAUUGUUUGGGGGACAAUGAUUUAGUUUUAACUUUUAAGUGUAUUUUAUUUAGUUUAGUUAGUAAUAAUUUAAUUUUGUAAUUUUCCUUAUAGAUAACAUUGUAUAAACUUUUAAUUCAUAUUAAUAAAAUUCUUUUUUUUUUUUUGAAAUUUUU
Long non-coding RNA from Chenopodium quinoa (quinoa), 1045 nucleotides. RefSeq lists it as uncharacterized. The transcript has 4 exons. The record is from RefSeq and is a predicted model, not a curated record. Lineage: Eukaryota; Viridiplantae; Streptophyta; Magnoliopsida; Caryophyllales; Amaranthaceae.